This 301-nucleotide ribosomal RNA is filed under the name uncultured bacterium. RNAcentral describes it as "partial 16S ribosomal RNA". It matches the Rfam family "Bacterial small subunit ribosomal RNA", at positions 509 to 807 of the family's 1533-position model. The record is from RNAcentral.
CAGUCUCCGCGGUAAUACGUAGGUGGCAAGCGUUGUCCGGAAUUAUUGGGCGUAAAGGGCUCGCAGGCGGUUUCUUAAGUCUGAUGUGAAAGCCCCCGGCUCAACCGGGGAGGGUCAUUGGAAACUGGGAAACUUGAGUGCAGAAGAGGAGAGUGGAAUUCCACGUGUAGCGGUGAAAUGCGUAGAGAUGUGGAGGAACACCAGUGGCGAAGGUGACUCUCUGGUCUGUAACUGACGCUGAGGAGCGAAAGCGUGGGGAGCGAACAGGAUUAGAUACCCCAGUAGUCCCUGUCUCUUAUAC